GUUUAAGUGACGCUGAAAAUGACCCGGAGGAUUCACCUGCCGACAAUCAGCAGCAGUUGUAUUCAUCUCUUCUUCACAGUGAUGUUAAUGUCUAUGAACCUAUCAGAGGCUCAAACAGCAAAGAUGCUGAGGAAACAAGCGACUAUGCAGAUGUCAAUAUCUCAUGAUCGGAGUUCAUUCAGUGUCUCUUAUUAUUUGCAUUAUUUUACAUAAGUCUGACCAGUCCAGCUCAUAAGUCACACUCAGAAGACAGAAAUGAACCUGUCCUGAAUAGCUUUAGAAUGAUCUUGAGCUGAAUCAGAACAAUUAUAAGAGCACAUAGACUAGUAUACGCCCAUGGACCACUAUGGAACAUACCUGCAGAACUGAGGGAGUACAGAGAUAUAAGGCCACACAGGAAUAUAAAACAAAAAACUAUGAUUUAAUGCUCAAAAUUAUGUUCUAUUGUUUAAAUACCCUGUUACUUGCACAGUAUGUUGUUAUUUAUUGAAUUUUUUUACAUUGUAUUUUUUCAUUUGGGCAAUUGCUGAAGCACUUUUUUUUUUUUUUAACCACAAACCUAUAAGAGAGCUAUGUAUCUAUCUCUUCGUAUUAAAGUGUUAAUACAAAGGUUUGUGUGCAUUUUUAGGCAGCAGAUCGCCCAAAACAAAAUAUCGGUCUGUGCUGGAGAUUUACACUUAAAAAGUCCAAAUAUCGGCAUGGUAUAUCGGCCAAGCAAUAUAUCGGUCUAUCUCUAUUUGAAAUCAUGCAGGUCAAAUAUUAAAUAAAGAACACACUAUGGUAUUUCCAAAGAAAUAUUUAUGUUAUAUAUCACAUUUAAAGGUGCAAUGUGUAACUUUUUGGUAGGAGGUCUGUCACCUGCUUGUUUCUAUGGAUACAUCAUUGUUCUGCCUGGAAUAUUCCACAGUAUGACAUUAAACAGCACUAAUUUACAUUUAUUCAAUUACAGGUGGUUUUAUAGCUCAAAAAAAAAAACAGGCAUUCUGUCUGUGAGCGGGGUCACCUCUCCACAGAUCUGACCUGUAACUUCGCCUGGUUUG
Boleophthalmus pectinirostris (great blue-spotted mudskipper) is the source of this 1040-nucleotide long non-coding RNA. RefSeq lists it as uncharacterized. The transcript has 3 exons. The record is from RefSeq and is a predicted model, not a curated record. Lineage: Eukaryota; Metazoa; Chordata; Actinopteri; Gobiiformes; Gobiidae.